UACAUGGGGUGCAAACGUUGCUCGGAAUUAUUGGGCGUAAAGCGCACGUAGGCGGUUCGUUAAGUCGGAUGUGAAAGCCCUCGGCUCAACUGAGGAAGUGCACCCGAAACUGGCGAGCUUGAGUACGAAAGAGGAUCGCGGAAUUCCCGGUGUAGAGGUGAAAUUCGUAGAUAUCGGGAGGAACACCGGUGGCGAAGGCGGCGAUCUGGGUCGAUACUGACGCUGAGGCGCGAAAAGCGUGGGGGAGCAAACAGG
This 255-nucleotide ribosomal RNA is filed under the name uncultured bacterium. Its description in RNAcentral is "partial 16S ribosomal RNA". It matches the Rfam family "Bacterial small subunit ribosomal RNA", at positions 524 to 776 of the family's 1533-position model. The record is from RNAcentral.